Long non-coding RNA from Oncorhynchus nerka (sockeye salmon), 1182 nucleotides. RefSeq lists it as uncharacterized. The transcript has 2 exons. NCBI's taxonomy places the organism in Eukaryota, Metazoa, Chordata, Actinopteri, Salmoniformes, Salmonidae. The record is from RefSeq and is a predicted model, not a curated record.
AAUAGUGGAAUUUGCGGUUUGCCUUCAAAAUAAAAGUAUGUCAUUGACAGUGAUGCAAAUGCAUACAAAUAGUAGAAUUGUUCCAUACUUUUAUUUUGAAGGCUAACCUUAGGCUAUCCUUAUUGUGGCUAGCUUCACAUGGAUGGGUCUGACCACCAUUAAAUAAGAACUGCCUUAAAAAUAGGGUUAUUUUAGAUUGCUACAUAGUCAGCUAGCUAACUAUAGCUACUGAAACAGAUUGUUGUUUUGAAUUUUUUGGGGGGAAGAACAUUGUUUGCAUCCCAUGAGCUAGCUAACUUUUUUUUAAUGACCAGCACCAAGUACGUGAGACAACUUACCAGCAUCAUAGCGAUGAAUCGUUGUGACACAUGAAAUACGAGUGAUAGUGUAAUAACUACUUAAUUUUGAUUUUGUUGUCAUUCAGAUCCUGGUUGGUCAACAAGCUUAUUUGACACGUCAAAUAGUGUUAUUUGACGUGCAUCUUUUUUUGGCACGCAAAGACUCAAACGGCGUUCCAUAGAAAUAAAUCCUGGUUGAGAAUGAAACGACUGAAGAAAUGAUCAACAAAACAGCACAGCAAGCAAGUCCGUUAAGAACAAAUUCUUAUUUACAAUGACGGCCAAACCCGGACGACGCUGGUCCAAUUGUGCACCGCCCUAUGACGGCCGGCUGGAUUCGAACCAGGGACUGUAGUGACGCCUCUUGCACUGCCUCGCAGUGCCUUAGACAGCUGCGUCCAUGUGUGUGUUAACUAUUUAACUGUACUAGAAUGCUUAAAAGGCUGAAAAAAGGUAUAUCGGUAUAGUUUUUUUUGGGUCAAGGAAAAUAUCAGAUAUCGAUAUACUUACAAGACCAUUAGACUUGAUUGAGCUGUUUUGUCUUGUAGUAAUGUGGUGCAUUAUAUAAUAACAUCCUUUUUUGGUCAGUAUGGUGCCCAACAUAACAACAGGUGGUGGUGUGUUGGACACAGUAGCUCAGAUAGAUAGAGCCUGUCUGCAUUCCUGAUUUCUGUAACUGUUAGCUUACCUGUUUUAUAUUGACAUGAGCUCAGAACCACGGUCCUGUUUAAUCAAUUGCUUUGCUGAUCAAUGGACAGUUCAUUACUUCUGUAAAAAUAAUAUGUAGCUUAGUUGUUUGUACUUUGUAUUUAUUUUUGUAAUAAAGAUAGUGAUGCAACAAUAA